ACCAAAGUGUCAGUGUAAUGGCAAGAAGUUUUGAGAAAACUGACCAUCCAGUAAAGGAUCAAUCAGCGUGGCGGCAUGAUGUUGUUAGAAGUAGAGUCAUGGACUAUUACUUAUAAAGUGAUUAAUUUACCGUUAUCGAAAACUGGAACGAGCUAUACACUAAUAAAUGAUUAAAUAUACAAACAUCGUGCAAAAUUCUUCGCAAGUUAAUAAUAAAUUUAAAUUAUUUAUGUAUGUACAGCAGGAACUACUGCUUUGUUGGCAUUUCUGCUCUUCUGAAUAAGCUCCUCGUAGAGAACGUAACUAUGUUCGCCGGAUCGCUUACGUCUUAUGCUGACACUACCACGUCUUUCAACAAUUACUCGCAAACCUUCAUCGAAAUGAGUUUCCAUAAUAUUCAUAUUAUUCCUCUUUUCCAUUAUUUUGUUUAUACACAAGCUUUUAAUUUACACUAAAUUGGACAACCGUUGUUUAUCCCUUAUUAGUGCUGUAAAUUUUCAAGUCAUGCAGCCUGAAGAUCGCUUAUCGAGCACUGUUGUACUGUUGAGGACACUAAUUUUUAUUUAUUUAUCCCUUUGUUGCUAAGUAAUACAGAAAUUGAUUGUAAGCGGUUGCGUACCGUUCAGUAAUUUACGACUAAAUAAAAAGAAAUAUUGAGACCUGA
Molecule: long non-coding RNA, 664 nt
Organism: Cephus cinctus (wheat stem sawfly)
Lineage: Eukaryota; Metazoa; Arthropoda; Insecta; Hymenoptera; Cephidae
Exons: 2
Source: RefSeq, a predicted model, not a curated record